GUAAGUUUAACAUGUCGCUCUUUCUUUGAAAGAAAACAAUAACCACAGAUAAACGUUAUCAGUAUCUUUGCAAUGACACAUCCCAAAACGGUGUGUACGGCCUCCACCUUUCAGCACUGUAGGCUUUCUGUCUGGUAAACAAUCACACUUUAGUGGAAGUUCAGUGAUGCUUGUGGAGACUUUAACGUUAGCUGUAUGGUUUACAGCUAGCCAGCUCUGGCCUUUAGUCCUUCGGAGUUCAAAGUCAAGCUGUUCCACUCUGAUGUUGAUGAAAGACCGACUGGCAUGCAGAAACAGCGGCAGGAGAGGGUUGGGCGGGUGGAACCACCGCUAAAAGUCGCCAAAACAGACAACUCUGAAGGUGGGUUUUCGAUGAUACGUAGGGUUGACAGGAGGAGCCAAGGACAAAGUGUUGCAUCAACAAUCAGGUAUGUACAGCAAACAUCAACCACACAUUACAGAGGCAACAGGCAGGGUGGUCUGUGUUGUAUUACGUUCACUACUGUCAUACAGAAGCCACAUCUAUC
This 527-nucleotide long non-coding RNA is filed under the name Salmo salar (Atlantic salmon). RNAcentral's name for it is "lncRNA (ENSSSAG00000105350.1)". Lineage: Eukaryota; Metazoa; Chordata; Actinopteri; Salmoniformes; Salmonidae. The record is from RNAcentral.